RNAcentral lists this long non-coding RNA (459 nucleotides) under Phoenix dactylifera (date palm). RNAcentral describes it as "long non-coding RNA (PDAC_LNC002112)". Lineage: Eukaryota; Viridiplantae; Streptophyta; Magnoliopsida; Arecales; Arecaceae. The record is from RNAcentral.
GUACAUACCUAAGCACAUAUCCAACAAGGAGGGACCAGCAAACUACCAACCCAACAAACAAACAUUGACAAACCCAAAACAUUUCAUGAUAAACAGCAAAAGCAGAAAACAAACAUCAAAGAUAUAUAUCAAUAAGCUUUUCUUCUAGGGACUGCCACUAGUCUUCUCACUCUCCUCCCCACCAUUCUUGUGAUAGCCGGGUAUCUUCUCCAUGAUCUUCCCCAGUAUGCCCUUCUUCUCCUUCCCAUCUUGUCCAUCAGCUUCAUGCUCCUUCUCAUGGCCGGUGCACUCUGCAGCUGGGGCCGCAGGGGGGGCGGCGGCGGCGGCAGCCUCCUCAGGCUUCUUGUGGUGGCCGGGGAGCUUCUCUUUGAUCUUGUCCAGGAAACCUUUCUUCUCCUCCUCUGGGGCUUCCUCCACUUUAAGACUCUCGUUCACCUUCUCCACCUUGACUGCAGUGUC